RNAcentral lists this transfer RNA (72 nucleotides) under Acidobacteriota bacterium. Its description in RNAcentral is "Acidobacteria bacterium tRNA-Asn". Lineage: Bacteria; Pseudomonadati; Acidobacteriota. The record is from RNAcentral.
CUUGCUUUGGCGGGUCCCGAGGUCUGACUGUUAAUCAGCCGGCCGCUGGUUCGAUCCCAGCAGGCGGAUCCA